CGGUAAUUCCAGCUCCAAUAGCGUAUACUAAAGUUGUUGCAGUUAAAAAGCUCGUAGUUGGAUUUCUGCGGGGACGGAGCGGCCGGACGCAACUUGCGUCUCGAGCUAGCGCUUUCCCCGCAUCCUGCCGCGAACCGUGCUACCAUUAGUUUGGUGGCGCUGGGGAUCGGCUCGAUUACUUUGAGAAAAAUAGAGUGUUCAAAGCAGGCCACACGCCUUGAAUAAGUUAGCAUGGAAUAAUGACCAAGGACUUCGGUUCUAUUUUGUUGGUGUUCGGGACUGAAGUAAUGAUUGAUAGGGACAGUUGGGGCGGUCUGUAUUCCAAAGCGAGAGGUGAAAUUCUUAGACCUUCGGAAGACAAACAGCUGCGAAAGCGUUCCGCAAGGAUGUUCCCUUUGAUCAAGAACGAAAGUUGGGGGAUCGAAGACGAUCAGAUACCGUCGUAGUCUCAACUAUAAACUAUACCGGCUAGGGAUCGGCCAACGUUUAAUUAAUCGACUUGGUCGGCACCUUAUGAGAAAUCAAAGCAUCUGGGUUCCGGGGGGAGUAUGGUCGCAAGGCUGAAACUUAAAGGAAUUGACGGAAGGGCACCACCAGCCGUGGAGCCUGUGGCUUAAUUUGACUCAACACGGGAAAACUUACCAGGUCCAGACAUAGGAAGGAUUGACAGAUUGAUAGCUCUUUCUUGAUUCUGUGGGUGGUGGUGCAUGGCCGUUUUUAGUUGGUGGAGUGAUUUGUCUGCUUAAUUGCGUUAACGAACGAGACCCCAGCCUGCUAAAUAGCGCGGCUGAGCUUUGCUCGGUGCGAGCUUCUUAGAGGGACCAUGAUGCGCGAUAGCACAAGGAAGUUUGGGGCAACAACAGGUCUGUGAUGCCCUUAGAUGUUCUGGGCCGCACACGGGCUACACUGGCGCCUGCAACGAGCAUAUCAGCUGGCCCGAGAGGGUCUUGGCUAAUCUUUUGAACCGGCGCCGUGCUUGGGAUUGACCUUUGCAAUUGUUGGUCAUGCAACGAGGAAUGCCUUGUAAACGCGAGUCAUCAGCUCGCAUUGAAUACGGCCCUGCCCUUUGUACACACCGCCCGUCGCUCCUACCGAUGAAUGUUCCGAUGAAAUUUUCGGAGAGCGCCAGAGAACGGGGCUCCGCCUUGCAGAUCUGGAGGCUCAAAGUCACUUAAAUCUGAACAUUUCGAGGAAGGAGAAGUCGUAACAAGGUAGCCG
RNAcentral lists this ribosomal RNA (1218 nucleotides) under uncultured Rhizaria. RNAcentral's name for it is "SSU rRNA". It matches the Rfam family "Eukaryotic small subunit ribosomal RNA", at positions 577 to 1805 of the family's 1831-position model. The record is from RNAcentral.